This 1240-nucleotide long non-coding RNA is filed under the name Macaca mulatta (Rhesus monkey). Its description in RNAcentral is "lncRNA (ENSMMUG00000055044.1)". The record is from RNAcentral. Lineage: Eukaryota; Metazoa; Chordata; Mammalia; Primates; Cercopithecidae.
GCUGAUUUGUCUGUCGCUUAACCAGAGUAAGCGAGAGAAGAAACAAACAGUGGGAGAAGAUGUCUCACGCACACUAAGUUUAGACCACCCCAAAACUGAGUCAGACGGCGGCUUUCUGAUGCCUCCCGGGGACAGCUGCUUCUCGGAGGAAGAGUAUUGCAUGCUGGCGUGGGUGAAGAUGUUUAAGCUUGAUUCUCCUUGGAAGCUGCAAUCAACCCUGCCCAGAACCACCAGUCCCCACUUAGUCUUGGAGAGGAGGCAAGGAUGUGUGUUCUCUGUGUGUAGCCUUAUGGUCUGUAAAUGCUUACAAAAACCUAUGAAAGACAGACUACUCAUUUUAGAGAAAAAAAAAAACCUGAAGCUUAGAACAUUUAAGAAAUUUCCCCUAAAUCCAUCCAGCAAGCAAGAAGUGGGGACAAAAUGCAAGUCCACUUGGCUCUCAGAUCCAGCCUCAAGCACCUUUUAGAGCCACGGGGGUUGCACAACACGGACUUCCUCUGCCAGAGUAGGAAGACAGUAUUUUUUACAUGAAAAAAUUGGAAUAGGCUGGGUGCGGUGGCUCACUGUAAUCCCAGCACUUUGGGAGGCCGAGGCAAGUGGAUCACCUGAGGUCAGGAGUUCAAGACCAGCCUGGCCAACAUGGUGAAACCCCGUCUCUACUAAAAAUACAAAAUUAGCCAAGAGUGGUGGCAUGUGCCUGUAAUCCCUGCUAUUCAGGAGGCUAAGGCAGAAUCACUUGAACCCGGGAGGCAGAGCUUGCAGUGAGCCAAGAUCACACCACUGCACUCUAGCCUGGGUGACAGAGCAAGACUCUGUCUCAAAAGGAAAAAAAAAAGGAUAAUUUUUACGUAAUCAUUAAGCGUAUAUUUAUUUACAUGAUAUUGUUUGAUCAUGUUCUUAAAUCAUCAAGUCUGUUUCACCUCCUUAUUCUAAGGUUCUCAAGGAUAAGAACCACAUUUCCUUUUAAAUCAUUUUAUUCCUUGCUUCCCUUCACUAAGGUAAUCUCUGACCUGAAUAAAAAGUGUCCCCAGUCGCCACCUGGCAGGGCAUAGCUUAGAAUGCAAUUGCUGGAAUUUAGUUCUAUACUUUUUUCCAUAGCAUUUCUAUCAAGCCAGCUGAAACAUCAGCAUGCGAUGCAUUGCUUCUGAAACCAAUGUUUGCUCUUAAUGAUGUGUAUACACUUACUACCAAGAAGACUUAGGUACGUGCUUCGUCCCUUAGACAAAGGCAUGGUUGGGGC